This 499-nucleotide ribosomal RNA is filed under the name uncultured Glomeromycotina. Its description in RNAcentral is "partial small subunit ribosomal RNA". It matches the Rfam family "Eukaryotic small subunit ribosomal RNA", at positions 591 to 1092 of the family's 1831-position model. The record is from RNAcentral. Lineage: Eukaryota; Fungi; Glomeromycota.
CCAAUAGCGUAUAUUAAAGUUGUUGCAGUUAAAAAGCUCGUAGUUGAACUUCGGGAUCAAGGGAUCGGUCAUGCCUUGGUAUGUACUGGUCUUGUUGGUUCUCACAUUCUAAAGAACCAUAAUGUCAUUCAUUUGAUGUUAUGGGGAAUUAGGACUGUUACCUUGAAAAAAUUAGAGUGUUUAAAGCAGGCUCACGCUUGAAUACAUUAGCAUGGAAUAAUGAAAUAGGACAUCCGAUUCUAUUUUGUUGGUUUCUAGGAUCGAUGUAAUGAGUAAUAGGGAUAGUUGGGGGCAUUAGUAUUCAAUUGUCAGAGGUGAAAUUCUUGGAUUUAUUGAAGACUAACUACUGCGAAAGCAUUUGCCAAGGAUGUUUUCAUUAAUCAAGAACGAAAGUUAGGGGAUCGAAGACGAUCAGAUACCGUCGUAGUCUUAACCAUAAACUAUGCCGACUAGGGAUCGGAUGAUGUUAAUUUUUUAAUGACUCAUUCGGCACCUUACG